Molecule: ribosomal RNA, 253 nt
Filed under: uncultured bacterium
Lineage: Bacteria
Description: partial 16S ribosomal RNA
Rfam family: Bacterial small subunit ribosomal RNA
Source: RNAcentral
UACGUAGGGUGCGAGCGUUAAUCGGAAUUACUGGGCGUAAAGGGUGCGCAGGCGGUCCUGCAAGUCAGGCGUGAAAUCCCCGGGCUUAACCUGGGAAUGGCACUUGAAACUACGGGACUGGAGUAUGGCAGAGGGAGGUGGAAUUCCACGUGUAGCGGUGAAAUGCGUAGAGAUGUGGAGGAACACCGAUGGCGAAGGCAGCCUCCUGGGCCAAUACUGACGCUCAUGCACGAAAGCGUGGGUAGCAAACGGG